This 253-nucleotide ribosomal RNA is filed under the name uncultured prokaryote. Its description in RNAcentral is "partial 16S ribosomal RNA". It matches the Rfam family "Bacterial small subunit ribosomal RNA", at positions 525 to 777 of the family's 1533-position model. The record is from RNAcentral.
ACGUAGGGUGCGAGCGUUAAUCGGAAUUACUGGGCGUAAAGCGUGCGCAGGCGGUUUUGUAAGCCAGAUGUGAAAUCCCCGGGCCUAACCUGGGAAUGGCAUUUGGGACUGCAAGGCUUGAGUGCGGCAGAGGAGACUGGAAUUCCUGGCGUAGCAGUGAAAUGCGUAGAUAUCAGGAGGAACACCGAUGGCGAAGGCAGGUCUCUGGGCUGACACUGACGCUGAGGCGCGAAAGCCAGGGGAGCAAACGGGA